Long non-coding RNA from Lemur catta (Ring-tailed lemur), 272 nucleotides. RefSeq lists it as uncharacterized. The record is from RefSeq and is a predicted model, not a curated record. NCBI's taxonomy places the organism in Eukaryota, Metazoa, Chordata, Mammalia, Primates, Lemuridae. The transcript is spliced from 3 exons.
GCCAGGGUGCUGGGGCAGAGGUGUACAGACAGCUGGAACUGGGUCUCUCCCAAAUCCCCACAGCCAACAGGCUUCCUGGUGAGGAACAGAGGCUCAGAGGAGAUUGCGGAAUUCAGUGGUUAUGAUGGCCUGGAGUCACAUCCUGCUUCCUUCUCAACUAGCUUCGUGGACUUUGAAAAGUGAUUUUUUGUGACUCAGUUUCCUCAUCUGUGAAAAAUGGGCAUCGCAAGACUACCAACCUCAAAGUUGGGGGCUCUGGAAUCCGAUCCGCG